CCACCCUCUUCGAAGGGGUCUUUAGGUACAGCUGGCGGCAGGCUUAACACAUGCAGUCGAGCGCCCCGCAGGGGAGCGGCAGACGGGUGAGUAACGCGUGGGAAUCUACCCUUUUCUACGGAAUAACGCAGGGAAACUUGUGCUAAUACCGUAUGAGCCCUUCGGGGGAAAGAUUUAUCGGGAAAGGAUGAGCCCGCGUUGGAUUAGCUAGUUGGUUGGGUAAAGGCCUACCAAGGCGACGAUCCAUAGCUGGUCUGAGAGGAUGAUCAGCCACAUUGGGACUGAGACACGGCCCAAACUCCUACGGGAGGCAGCAGUGGGGAAUAUUGGACAAUGGGCGCAAGCCUGAUCCAGCCAUGCCGCGUGAGUGAUGAAGGCCCUAGGGUUGUAAAGCUCUUUCACCGGUGAAGAUAAUGACGGUAACCGGAGAAGAAGCCCCGGCUAACUUCGUGCCAGCAGCCGCGGUAAUACGAAGGGGGCUAGCGUUGUUCGGAAUUACUGGGCGUAAAGCGCACGUAGGCGGAUUGUUAAGUGAGGGGGUGAAAUCCCAGGGCUCAACCCUGGAACUGCCUUUCAUACUGGCAAUCUAGAGUCCAGAAGAGGUGAGUGGAAUUCCGAGUGUAGAGGUGAAAUUCGUAGAUAUUCAGAGGAACACCAGUGGCGAAGGCGGCUCACUGGUCUGGAACUGACGCUGAGGUGCGAAAGCGUGGGGGAGCAAACAGGAUUAGAUACCCUGGUAGUCCACGCCGUAAACGAUGAAUGUUAGCCGUCGGGCAAGUUUACUGUU
RNAcentral lists this ribosomal RNA (787 nucleotides) under uncultured bacterium. Its description in RNAcentral is "bacterial SSU rRNA". It matches the Rfam family "Bacterial small subunit ribosomal RNA", at positions 1 to 840 of the family's 1533-position model. The record is from RNAcentral.